This 468-nucleotide ribosomal RNA is filed under the name uncultured bacterium. RNAcentral's name for it is "partial 16S ribosomal RNA". It matches the Rfam family "Bacterial small subunit ribosomal RNA", at positions 28 to 507 of the family's 1533-position model. The record is from RNAcentral.
GACGAACGCUGGCGGCGUGCUUAACACAUGCAAGUCGAACGGAAAGGCCCUGCUUUUGUGGGGUGCUCGAGUGGCGAACGGGUGAGUAACACGUGAGUAACCUGCCCUUGACUUUGGGAUAACUUCAGGAAACUGGGGCUAAUACCGGAUAGGAGCUCCUGCUGCAUGGGGGGGGUUGGAAAGUUUCGGCGGUUGGGGAUGGACUCGCGGCUUAUCAGCUGGUUGGUGGGGUAGUGGCUUACCAAGGCUUUGACGGGUAGCCGGCCUGAGAGGGUGACCGGCCACAUUGGGACUGCGAUACGGCCCAGACUCCUACGGGAGGCAGCAGUGGGGAAUCUUGCACAAUGGGCGGAAGCCUGAUGCAGCAACGCCGCGUGCGGGAUGACGGCCUUCGGGUUGUAAACCGCUUUCGCCUGUGACGAAGCGUGAGUGACGGUAAUGGGUAAAGAAGCACCGGCUAACUACGUG